GGUCCAGUGGCCUAAAGGUAAGGCGUCGCUCUCCGGAGGCGACGAUUGCGGGUUCGAGUCCCGUCUGGAUCU
Molecule: transfer RNA, 72 nt
Filed under: Blastobotrys adeninivorans
Lineage: Eukaryota; Fungi; Ascomycota; Dipodascomycetes; Dipodascales; Trichomonascaceae
Description: tRNA Arg (CCG) score
Rfam family: tRNA
About the family: Transfer RNA (tRNA) molecules are approximately 80 nucleotides in length. Their secondary structure includes four short double-helical elements and three loops (D, anti-codon, and T loops).
Source: RNAcentral